This 20-nucleotide non-coding RNA is filed under the name Arabidopsis thaliana (thale cress). Lineage: Eukaryota; Viridiplantae; Streptophyta; Magnoliopsida; Brassicales; Brassicaceae. The record is from RNAcentral.
UCUGAUGGGUGCGUUAUUUC